GCCCUUAGCAACACAAGUAUUAAAGGUCCUGCCUGCCCAGUGAAACAUUUUAACGGCCGCGGUAUUCUAACCGUGCAAAGGUAGCGUAAUCAUUUGUCUUCUAAAUAAAGACCAGUAUGAACGGCUAAAUGAGGACAAGCCUGUCUCCUGCAACCUAUCAGUGAAACUGAUCUCCCAGUCCAAAAGCUGGAAUACAAACAUAAGACGAGAAGACCCUGUGGAGCUUAAAAUUUACUCACUAAUGAACCUCUACACCACUAGUAUAAAAUUUUAAGUUGGGGCGACUUCGGAAUAAAAUAAAACUUCCGAGCACAGAACCACCAAUUCUAACUAAGGCAGACAGGCCUAAGAGAAAACUGACCCAGUCACACUGAUCAACGAACCAAGUUACCCCAGGGAUAACAGCGCCAUCUUCUUCAAGAGUCCAUAUCGACAAGAAGGUUUACGACCUCGAUGUUGGAUCAGGGCACCCUAAUGGUGCAGCCGCUAUUAAAGGUUCGUUUGUUCAACGAUUAACAGCC
This 521-nucleotide ribosomal RNA is filed under the name Calyptotis temporalis. RNAcentral's name for it is "partial 16S ribosomal RNA". It matches the Rfam family "Bacterial large subunit ribosomal RNA", at positions 1818 to 2595 of the family's 2925-position model. The record is from RNAcentral. Lineage: Eukaryota; Metazoa; Chordata; Lepidosauria; Squamata; Scincidae.